AGUGAACGCUGGCGGUAGGCCUAACACAUGCAAGUCGAACGGCAGCACAGUAAGAGCUUGCUCUUACGGGUGGCGAGUGGCGGACGGGUGAGGAAUACAUCGGGAUCUACUUUUUCGUGGGGGAUAACGUAGGGAAACUUACGCUAAUACCGCAUACGACCUACGGGUGAAAGCAGGGGAUCUUCGGACCUUGCGCGAUUGAAUGAGCCGAUGUCGGAUUAGCUAGUUGGCGGGGUAAAGGCCCACCAAGGCGACGAUCCGUAGCUGGUCUGAGAGGAUGAUCAGCCACACUGGAACUGAGACACGGUCCAGACUCCUACGGGAGGCAGCAGUGGGGAAUAUUGGACAAUGGGCGCAAGCCUGAUCCAGCCAUACCGCGUGGGUGAAGAAGGCAUUCGGGUUGUAAAGCCCUUUUGUUGGGAAAGAAAAGCAGCAGGUUAAUACCCCGCUGUUCUGACGGUACCCAAAGAAUAAGCACCGGCUAACUUCGUG
Molecule: ribosomal RNA, 492 nt
Filed under: uncultured bacterium
Lineage: Bacteria
Description: partial 16S ribosomal RNA
Rfam family: Bacterial small subunit ribosomal RNA
Source: RNAcentral